UGGUUCUGCAACUCCCCAGAGUUCAACCAGCUCCUUCUAAAAGGCCUCUUUUAGUUUCCUUUCCAUGAAUGAAGAGUCCCAAAUGGUUUCCUGUCUGCUCCAGAGGUGUACUCAUUCAAAAGCAGAGUUGGAGAGAAAGUCAACUGUAUUAUUUAUACUAUAGAUAAGUAUAUCUUUUUUUGUGUGUUCGCGGUAACAUAAGAAGUGCGCUUUGCGCCUCAAAUAUUUUGUGUAUGGAAUGUUUUGUGUAUGGAAUGUUUUGUGUAUGGAAUGUUUUGUGUAUGGAAUGUUUUGUGUAUGGAAUGUUUUGUGUAUGGAAUGUUUUGUGUAUGGAUUUUUAUAGCAGGGCACCUCUUAAAGGGGUUAUCUCUUGGGUUGCCAUGAAGUGGAUGCAGAUGAUAUACCUGAAGGAGGUGAAGUGAUUGGUGAACGUUGACUGACCUGUAUAGUGGAUGGAGUAAGGAAACCCACUUCGUCCAUGGUAUUGUUUUUUGAUGAGUCAGGCUUUAUGAGAUAACCUGUAAGAGUUUUUGUGCAUGAGAAUAUCGUAUGCCAGUUGAGGUUAUAUGCUGCAACUGUGGUGGUGAGCAUGCACCUGAGUCCCUGGAUAGCCUUGUUAGUGUGAAGGAGACAGAGGUUGUUUGGAGCUGGUGAGAAGAGUGGAAGAAGCGAGUGGCGUUGAAGGCACAAUGGUAAUUGAGACUGCACCAAUGAUUGUUUUUUUUCCUCAGCAAUUUGAGGAUCCUGAUAUAUUUAAUGAUGGUAUUUAUGAAUAGACAAAGACAUCAAUCACGUGACACCAUUCAUUCCUAUGUGAAAACUUAAUAGCACAUUGAAGCCAAAUUAAGUCAGUUAAGAUGGCGUCUCAUGGAGAAAUAACAUGCAGCAGUUUGAGCUACUCCAGGAAGUGAUGUUCCAGGCUGGCUCUGUGCUGCCUCCUCUCAUUGAGUAAUGUUGCUUUCAAGACAACUGGGAACUCAAAAAAGGCUGGAAAGUCUGAGAUCUAGAAAGAUGCCAGAGUUUCCGACUUGGAAUUCAGAGUUUUUUCCCCACUCAGAGCUAGUUUUUUUUCCAAGUUCCCAGUUGCCUUGAACACACUGAUGUCGGAAGUUUCCGAUUUCAGAGUUUCCAGUCGUUUUGGACAUGGCAUACAUAACUCAAGUUGAAGGCCGUCCGGGGUGAUGCAGGCUGCCAUUAGCAACUAAAUUAUCCUUAUAACUUCUUCUGUGUGUAAUUCUAAAAUAAUCGGUUCAAAGACAUACAUCGGGUGUAUUACUGGUACCACGAGUGUCCUCUAAACAUUUUUUUACUCGAAGAUUGACAUUUUUCCAUUCACUAUUUUGGGCGAUCCUGUUUUCUGCUAACAAUGCAUGCAGUACCACGGUCGGCCUUGAACUUCCGUGAGCAUUUAUUGCAAUGCUCAUAAACUGCACAGCACAAAAGAAGAAACAACCGGAGAAAAUUUGCAGCAGAACGCUUUUUGGGUUGAGCCUGUGUAGGGAUGUCUUGAAUUGGAAUGUGACUGAAGGAGUGGAAUGUUUAUGAAUGUCUUUAUUUUUGUAUUUUGGGUGAUGUCGUUUUUUCGCCCCUUUCAUACAAUUGGUAUGUUUUCUAUAGUUUUACCACCCGUACAGUAGGUGGCAGAAUGCACCUCUAACACUUAUUUCCAGACGCCCUAAUACCAUAGAAGAAGAAGAAUUUAAAGCACACUUUACGAUUAGAUUGAAAAACUCGGGGAUAUUAUUACAAAUAUUGCCGCGUAAGUACGUCGGCAGAUUGAGUUGUCAUGUUCGUGAGGAAGACAUCCAUAUGUUUUUUAGUGGUGACUGGAGGUUGGUCUGAAGAAUGAGUAAGUUAAAGGUGUUAGCUAGCUAACAUGGGCGAAAUGGCGACUGCUGACUAGUAGCUAGAUUGUCAGCUGUUGUUGAUAUUUAGCCAACACAGUAGACCUACUGACCCGUCGUCAGCACUGCUCGUUCUCGCUCAUGCACGAUCUAGUGUUACAGGUACGGCUUUGUGGAGUACGAGUCAUCAUUGAGCACGCUCGUGGUCCACGCAGGGGCCGUGGUGGUGGGGGUUAUAAGAGCGGAGCUGGACGUAACGGUAGUGGUUACAGCAGCCGAAGCCCCACUGGCUAGGAUACGUAUUGGCCACCUGUACGCACAGAGGACCGCCUUAUUGUGGACAGCCUCUCCAGUCGCUGCAGCUGGCAGGACCUAAAGGACUUCAUGCGCCAAGCUGGUUGAGGUGACAUAUGCCGACACUCAUAAGGAGUGGCCCAACGAGGGGGUGAUUGAGUUCUGCUCCCGCUCAGACAUGAGGGCCCUGGACAUGCUGGAUGGCACCAAAAUCAACGGGAGGAAGAUCUGCCUGGUGGAGGACAAGCCUUGCCACUGACGCUCCUACUCUGGCAGCUGCUCCUGGUCAGGAUAGUCCUGGGCCUACCACAUAAGGCAGCCGUUGGGUCCUUAUGGCCCUCCUGUUAUAAGUGGUGAUAUGUUUAAUUUGCUGUUUUUCUAGUACCAAAGCUGAUUAGUUAUCCAGGCUUACAAUGUGUUUGAUCUCCCAGGUCUCAUAGCAGACGUCACUUUCGCAGCAGGAGCAGAAGUUUUGGCAGCCACUCCAGGUCUCACUUACGGUCACACUCGUAGUAUACACCGCUCUCGAUCCAGGUCCAACCAGAAAUCACGUUCUAGAUCCGGGAAUUCCCACCUCUCCAAGUCACUCAAAUCCCGUUCCAAGUCCCGCUCACGUUCUCGCACCAGGAAGUCAUGUUCUCACUCCCACAAGUCUCGUAGCUGCUCAGUGAGCCUCAAAUCCAGCUCUCACUCCGACGCCCGUAUGUCUCGCUCCAAGAGCUAGUCUAAAGUCUAGUCUGAGCAGGAAUCCAGAAGCCACUCCAAAGAGAAGUCUGUCAGCAAGAAGUCCUAGAGUCGCUCCCCGACCCCCACAGAGAAUGGAAACAGAGCGUGCCCAGUCCACCUACAAGUCUCCCUCCCCACAAGAAGACCAUCCCAAAUCGAAGUACCCCGCCAUGCACUCAGUCUCUCGCUCCCCCUCAUGCUCUAAAUCCUUCUCCUGCUCCCGAUCCAGGUUGACCUCCAAAAUGUAAUUGCACUUGUUUUAGUAGGAAGUAUGGAAGAUGGUUUUAAAAUCAUUUACAAAUCGAAUGCAGUGUUUCAAUUUGCCCCAUUAUGAGCAUUUGGUUUUAUCGAAGUUGGGAAUGUAGUGCUUUUUAACAUUGUUUUUAACUUUGCAUGAGAACCAGGAUGAAAGAUUGUAGAUUGCUGUGGAACGCAUUGUAGAGGAAUUGUUCUCAAUUUCCUUAUCUGUAUGAGAUUGCUUAUGCUUCAUGUUAUAGGUACUGGUUGAUGUUUGUUUCAAGAGGAAAUUAUUGAUUCUUAUUUGUAAUCUCUUCCUCGCCAUCUUCUGCAUUGCUUUGAAACUCUCCUUCCAGACCCACAUCAAACAUCUCCAAACAAUCCAAAGUUAAGUCUAGAAUUGGCUUCCUAUUUCGCAACAAAGCAUCCUUCACUCAUGCUGCCAAACAUACCCUUGUAAAACUGUCCAUCCUACCAAUCCUCGACUUCGGCGAUGUCAUUUACAAAAUAGCCUCCAAUACCCUACUCAACAAAUUGGAUGCAGUCUAUCACAGUGUCAUCCGUUUUGUCACCAAAGCCCUAUAUACUACCCACCAUUGCGACCUGUACGCUCUCGUUGGCUGGCCCUCGCUUCAUACUCGUCGCCAAACCCACUGGCUCCAUGUCAUCUACAAGACCCUGCUAGGUAAAGUCCCCCCUUAUCUCAGCUCGCUGGUCACCAUAGCAUCACCCACCUGUAGCACGCUCUCCAGCAGGUAUAUCUCUCUAGUCACCCCCAAAACCAAUUCUUUCUUUGGCUGCCUCUCCUUCCAGUUCUCUGCUGCCAAUGACUGGAACGAACUACAAAAAUCUCUGAAACUGGAAACACUUAUCUCCCUCACUAGCUUUAAGCACCAACUGUCAGAGCAGCUCACAGAUUACUGCACCUGUACAUAGCCCAUCUAUAAUUUAGCCCAAACAACUACCUCUUUCCCUACUGUAUUUAUUUGAUUUAUUUAGCUCCUUUGCGCCCCAUUAUUUUUAUUUCUACUUUGCACAUUCUUCCACUGCAAAUCUACAAUUCCAGUGUUUUACUUGCUAUAUUGUAUUUACUUUGCCACCAUGGCCUUUUUUUGCCUUUACCUCCCUUAUCUCACCUCAUUUGCUCACAUCGUAUAUAGACUUGUUUCUACUGUAUUAUUGACUGUAUGUUUGUUUUACUCCAUGUGUAACUCUGUUGUUGUAUGUGUCGAACUGCUUUGCUUCAUCUUGGCCAGGUCGCAAUUGUAAAUGAGAACUUGUUCUCAACUUGCCUACCUGGUUAAAUAAAGGUGAAAUAAAAUAAAUACAAAAUAAA
Molecule: long non-coding RNA, 4437 nt
Organism: Oncorhynchus tshawytscha (Chinook salmon)
Lineage: Eukaryota; Metazoa; Chordata; Actinopteri; Salmoniformes; Salmonidae
Source: Ensembl